RNAcentral lists this long non-coding RNA (3042 nucleotides) under Papio anubis (olive baboon). Its description in RNAcentral is "lncRNA (ENSPANG00000050734.1)". The record is from RNAcentral. Lineage: Eukaryota; Metazoa; Chordata; Mammalia; Primates; Cercopithecidae.
AUGGGGGAGGGAGCAGGAGCUGUGUGUCUCAGGGCCGCCUCUGCUCCUCACCAUGCUGCCCCCAACACACACCACACCACACACACCACACACCACACCACACACCACACACUACACCACACACACCACGCACUACACAUACACAGACCACACCACACACCACACACACCACACAUACACACCCAUACACAUCACACCACACAUACCACACACACCACACACACCUCAUACAUAGACCACACACACCACACACACCACACACCACACACAUACACACCACGCACUACACAUACACACCACACCACAUACCACACACCACACAUACACACCACAUACACCACACCACACACGCCACACACCACAUACACACCCACACACCACACACCACACACCACACCACACACACCACACCAUACCACACCACACACAUGCCACACUACACACCACAUACACACCACACCACACACACCACACCACACAUACACACCACAUACACCACACCACACACCACACACCACACCACAUACACACCACACACUACACAUACACACCACACACACCACACCACACACGUCAUACACCACACCACACACACCACACGCCACACAUACACACCACCACACACCACAUACACCACACAUACACACCACACACACUACACCACACACCACACCACACUACACACACCACACACCACACAUACACACCACACACCACACACCACACACUACAUACACACCACACACACACCACAUAUGCCACACACCACACCACACACACCCAACGAGACUACACAUACAGACUCCUCACACACCACACCACACACACCACACACCACAUAUACACCACUUUACUCACAUAUACACACCACACCACAUACCACACACUCAUAUACACACCACAUACACCACACAUACACACCACGCACUACACAUACACACCCACACCACAUACCACACACCACACAUACACACCACAUGCACCACACAUACACACCACACACCACACCACACACACCACACACCACACCACACUCACCACACACACCACACCACACAUGCCACACACCACACCACACACACCACACACCACACCACACACCACGCACCACACAUACACACCACACCACAUACCACACACCACACAUACACACCACAUACACCACACCACACACGCCACACACCACACCACACACACCACACACCACACAUAUACCAUACCUUCCACAUACCACACACCACAUACCACACACCGUACAUACACACCACACACACCACACCACACACGCCACACCACACACGCCACACACCACAUACACACCACACACCACACAUACACUCACACCACAAACACCACACACCACACAUUAGCACACCAUACACUACACUACACACCAUACAAUCUACACCACACACAAUUCACACUACAUAUACAUACCUACACUAUACCACACUACACCACAUACACACCUACACACACCAUACACCCUACACUUUAUACUCACACUCCACACACCACACACUAAGCACAUACACACUACACAAAUUACACGGCCACCACACAACACCACACACACACCACACUAUACCACACCACACACACAUGCCACACCCACACACACCACACCACACUAUACCACACCCACACACCACACACUACACAUACACACCACACUACACACACACCACACCACACCACACACACACCACACUAUACCACACCACACACACGCCACACCACACACGCCACACCACACACGCCACAUACACACACCACACACACACCACACCCACACACCACACACUACACAUACACACCACACACACACCACACCACACACACCACACCAUACCACAUACACACCAAACACACACCACACUAUACCACAUACACCACACACCACACAUACACACCACAUACACACCACACUACACACCACAUACACACACCCACACCACACACACCACACACCACACACACACCACACUACUACCACACCACACCACAUACACACCACACACACCACACCACACUAUACCACACCCACACACCACACAUACACACAUACACACCACACACACCACCACACACACGCCCCACACCACACCACGCCACACUAUACCACACUACACACAUACACCACACACUUCACACCUACACCACACACACAUACACACACCACACACACACACCACACCCACACACCACACACUACACAUACACACCACACUAUACCACACCACACCCACACACCACACACCACAUACACACCACACACACACCACACCACACACGCCACACCACACCACAUACACACCAAUAACACACCACACUAUACCACACUACAACACAUCACACACUACACAUACACACCACAUACACCACACCACACACGCCACACCCCACCACAUACACACCACACACACCACACCCACACACCACACACUACACAUACACACCACACACACACCACACCACACACACCACACAACACCACACACACACCAUACCACACAGACACCAUACCACCCACAUCACACCACAUACACCACACCUCACACACACCACACCACACACAUACCACACCACACACAUACCACACCACACACCACACCACCCACAUCACAGCACACACACACCACACCACACACACACACCACACACACCACACCUCACACACAUACACCACCCACUCCACACCACACACACCACACACUACACAUACCACACCACACCAUCCACACAACACCAUGCACACACCAGACACUACACCACACACACACGCCACACACACAUCAUACUCCACACCCUCCUCACACCAUGUACUCACACACCACACACCACAAUCCUCACCUCACACCCAGUAGGGCUGUGUUCGGUGUCUCUACCCGGGCACCCUCUUUCAUGUGGCAGCAUUUUUAUUAUAACCAGCAUUUCCCAGGAUUCGAAGCUCCAGUUCCUUGCCUGGCAAAUUCAGUAAAUCCCAGGCCGGCGUUUGCCGGUGUCACGGUUUGCCACGGCUGCGGUAACAAAGCACCAUGA